GGGGCACAUAUGGACCUGAGAGAGGGCUCCAGGAGCUAAAAGUGGUACCUGAAUGACAGUUAGAUAGGGACUUAAUUUUCAAACAACCUUAUUGAGCCUGGAAGCAGAUUCCUUAUCAAAGCCUCCAGUAAGGAACAAAGACUUGCUGUCACCUUGACUUUAGCCCUGUGAGCCCCAUGGGGGACUUGGAACCUACAUAACAGGAGGUCAUAAAUGGAGCUACAUAAAACCACUUGGGUUGUGGUAAUUUCUGUGGCUCUGUGACCUCUGUUUAGACUGGAAAAAACUUAUGUCCACCCCUCAGCAGGUGAACAUAACAUAGAUGCUCAAGAAGACAAUGGAGGAUGAGGCUGAGGGAAGAGGGCGUGUGGAAUAGAGAGAUUCUGUGAGGUCACAAGGCCCCCAAGAGAGUGAAAUUCCAAGUGUCCAAGAGGACACUUUUACCAAAGCUCACAGGAAUAUGCUGGUGACAAGGGCCUGCUUCACUAAAAAGACCCCUGGUCAAGCCUGUGGAGCCUGAGAGAGAGCAGAAGCCACAGCCCCUGCAGCCAGAAGAUCUGCAACUAGAUCUUCAAGGGAAUUCCCUACCCUGGCUUUUGGCAGGGCUAAGGGGAGUAGCUGGAGACAUGGCUCCCAUCACUUCACAAAUACACAGACCUCCAUCCUCCUCCAUUCCAGAAGUCUGCUCUCUGUGCAGUGGGAGGCUUCAGAGACUUACAACCAAGACAGGCCCUGUAAUCUCCAGCCAGUGACCACUUUUCUCACCUGGACCCUGUGCAGCUGAUGUUGUCCUCCUCUUCUUGCACCAAAGGAGCCAAAACAAGAUGAUCACAGCACCAACAACAGCAGCCAGAAUGGUGGGCCAUCGGCUCCGAAGCAGCAGUGCAGUGCCUGAAAGAAGGCUUGUUACACUCUGGGACUGGGGCUCAAGGCUUCCCCCCUCUUACCACCCUGGUCACUGACUCACCUUGUUGGGAACCCCUGAUGGGACCCUCAGGCUCACUACAAGACACAGUGCCAUUAAUGUGAUUCCCGCUGUGUCCCACGUGACAGCUGAACCUCUGCUCCUGUCCUUGGGGAAUCCUGGUGGACACCCAGGUCUGGUAGGUCCCAUUCCCAUAGGACAGGAUACUCCCAGACUUCUGUGUGUCCUGGCUCAGGGGUUUCCCAUCCUGAAGCCAGGUCAGAAAGAUAUUCUUGGGAUAGAAGCCCAAAGCCCAACAUGUCAUGAUGAUGGUGUCUUCCAAGACCUCAUCACAGGUUAUAUUCACUUUUGGGGACACUGGAGAAGAAAAGGCAGAAAAAGCAGAACAAGUCAGGGAUGUUUUCUAACCUAUCUCCCCUCUAAUAAAGGAAGAGGGAACAGGG
Non-coding RNA from Ictidomys tridecemlineatus (thirteen-lined ground squirrel), 1368 nucleotides. NCBI's taxonomy places the organism in Eukaryota, Metazoa, Chordata, Mammalia, Rodentia, Sciuridae. The record is from RefSeq and is a predicted model, not a curated record.